AAAAUCAAUGCCCUUCGGGGCUCCUUGGUGAUUCAUAAUGAUUUUUCUAAUCGCAUGGCCGUGCGCCGGCGAUGGUUCAUUCAAAUAUCUUCCCUCUCAUCUUUCGAUGGCAGGGUCUUGUCCUCCCAUGGUUACAUCGGGUAACGGAGGGUUAGGGCUCUACCCCGGAGAAGGAGCCUGAGAAACGGCUACUACAUCCAAGGAAGGCAGCAGGCGCGCAAAUUACCCACUCCUCGAUUCGGGGAGGGAGUGACAAUAAAUACUGAUACAGGGCUCUUUCGGGUUUUGUAAUUGGAAUGAGUACAAUUUAAAUCCCUUAACGAGGAACAAAGGGGGGCAAGUUUGGUA
This 348-nucleotide ribosomal RNA is filed under the name uncultured microeukaryote. RNAcentral describes it as "bacterial SSU rRNA". It matches the Rfam family "Eukaryotic small subunit ribosomal RNA", at positions 218 to 566 of the family's 1831-position model. The record is from RNAcentral.